RNAcentral lists this ribosomal RNA (497 nucleotides) under uncultured bacterium. RNAcentral's name for it is "partial 16S ribosomal RNA". It matches the Rfam family "Bacterial small subunit ribosomal RNA", at positions 28 to 507 of the family's 1533-position model. The record is from RNAcentral.
GAUGAACGCUGGCGGCGUGCCUAAUACAUGCAAGUCGAGCGAACAGACGAGGAGCUUGCUCCUCUGACGUUAGCGGCGGACGGGUGAGUAACACGUGGAUAACCUACCUAUAAGACUGGGAUAACUUCGGGAAACCGGAGCUAAUACCGGAUAAUAUAUUGAACCGCAUGGUUCAAUAGUGAAAGACGGUUUUGCUUUCACUUAUAGAUUGAUCCGCGCCGCAUUAGCUAGUUGGUAAGGUAACGGCUUACCAAGGUAACGAUGCGUAGCCGACCUGAGAGGGUGAUCGGCCACACUGGAACUGAGACACGGUCCAGACUCCUACGGGAGGCAGCAGUAGGGAAUCUUCCGCAAUGGGCGAAAGCCUGACGGAGCAACGCCGCGUGAGUGAUGAAGGUCUUCGGAUCGUAAAACUCUGUUAUUAGGGAAGAACAAAUGUGUAAGUAACUAUGCACGUCUUGACGGUACCUAAUCAGAAAGCCACGGCUAACUACGUG